AUGGGGAGCCAUGGCGGCGCAGUGGUGAGGGCGCCGUUGGUGCUCGAAGAGUUCAUACCGCUGAAGAACAUCGGGAUCGAUGCGGUGGAGAAGGCGAACUGGAUGGUGUCCGCGCAGCUGUGGAACGGGCCGGCUGCGGGGGACGCGGCGGCCAAAGGCCCGCAGACUCCCAAGGAGCGUUCGGAGCACCCAUUGAACACGAGCCCCAUGCUCGGCGGGCUCGACGGUGGCGGCAACGACGGCGGCGCCUUCCUCCUGUUCACCAAGGAGAAGGCCUGUAUCGCAGAGAGCGUGGCGCUACCGGAGCUCGGGCUCGCGCCCGCGGAGAAGGAUCGGUGCACCACCGUCGUCUACGGCCGGUGCGAGAGGCAGCGGCGGAAGGGCGCGGGCGGCUGGGAGCGUGUGCUGGCCGCGACCAGGCAGCAGCGGCGGCCAUAG
This 438-nucleotide ribosomal RNA is filed under the name Triticum aestivum (bread wheat). Its description in RNAcentral is "partial small subunit ribosomal RNA". The record is from RNAcentral. Lineage: Eukaryota; Viridiplantae; Streptophyta; Magnoliopsida; Poales; Poaceae.